Molecule: ribosomal RNA, 253 nt
Filed under: uncultured bacterium
Lineage: Bacteria
Description: partial 16S ribosomal RNA
Rfam family: Bacterial small subunit ribosomal RNA
Source: RNAcentral
UACGUAGGGGGCAAGCGUUGUCCGGAAUUACUGGGCGUAAAGCGCGUGUAGGCGGGACGGUUAGUCGGACGUGAAAGGCUGGGGCUCAACCCCAGAUCGCCGUUCGAAACUGCCGUUCUUGAGGGUCGAAGAGGAGAGUGGAAUUCCUGGUGUAGCGGUGAAAUGCGUAGAUAUGUGGAGGAACACCGAUGGCGAAGGCAGCCCCCUGGGUUAACACUGACGCUCAUGCACGAAAGCGUGGGGAGCAAACAGG